This 415-nucleotide ribosomal RNA is filed under the name uncultured crenarchaeote. Its description in RNAcentral is "partial 16S ribosomal RNA". It matches the Rfam family "Archaeal small subunit ribosomal RNA", at positions 330 to 747 of the family's 1478-position model. Lineage: Archaea; Thermoproteati; Thermoproteota. The record is from RNAcentral.
GCGCAGCAGUCGCGAGACCUUUGCAAUACACGCAAGUGUGACAGGGUCAUCCCGAGUGCCGACCGCUGAGGUUGGCUUUUACCCAGUCUAGAAAGCUGGGGGAAUAAGGAGAAGGCAAGUCUGGUGUCAGCCGCCGCGGUAAUACCAGCUCUCCGAGUGGUGUGGACGUUUAUUGGGCCUAAAGCAUCCGUAGCUGGCUGAACAAGUCCCCUGUUAAACCCACCGAUUUAAUCGUUGGCUUGCGGGGGAUACUGCUCGGCUAGGGGACGAGAGAGGCAGACGGUAUUCCCGGGGUAGGGGUGAAAUCCUAUAAUCCCGAGAAGACCACCAGUGGCGAAGGCUGUCUGCUAGAACGCGCCCGACGGUGAGGGAUGAAAGCUGGGGGAGCGAACCGGAUUAGAUACCCGGGUAGUCC